Molecule: ribosomal RNA, 465 nt
Filed under: Vreelandella stevensii
Lineage: Bacteria; Pseudomonadati; Pseudomonadota; Gammaproteobacteria; Oceanospirillales; Halomonadaceae
Description: partial 16S ribosomal RNA
Rfam family: Bacterial small subunit ribosomal RNA
Source: RNAcentral
CCUACGGGUGGCUGCAGUGGGGAAUAUUGGACAAUGGGGGCAACCCUGAUCCAGCCAUGCCGCGUGUGUGAAGAAGGCCCUCGGGUUGUAAAGCACUUUCAGUGAGGAAGAACGCCUGGUGGUUAAUACCCAUCAGGAAAGACAUCACUCACAGAAGAAGCACCGGCUAACUCCGUGCCAGCAGCCGCGGUAAUAUGGAGGGUGCGAGCGUUAAUCGGAAUUACUGGGCGUAAAGCGCGCGUAGGUGGCUUGAUAAGCCGGUUGUGAAAGCCCCGGGCUCAACCUGGGAACGGCAUCCGGAACUGUCAAGCUAGAGUGCAGGAGAGGAAGGUAGAAUUCCCGGUGUAGCGGUGAAAUGCGUAGAGAUCGGGAGGAAUACCAGUGGCGAAGGCGGCCUUCUGGACUGACACUGACACUGAGGUGCGAAAGCGUGGGUAGCAAACAGGAUUAGAUACCCGUGUAGUC